UAGGGAAUCUUCGGCAAUGGGGGAACCCUGACCGAGCAACGCCGCGUGAGUGAAGAAGGUUUUCGGAUCGUAAAGCUCUGUUGUUAAGGAAGAACGAGUGUGAGAAUGGAAAGUUCAUGCUGUGACGGUACUUAACCAGAAAGGGACGGCUAACUACGUGCCAGCAGCCGCGGUAAUACGUAGGUCCCGAGCGUUGUCCGGAUUUAUUGGGCGUAAAGCGAGCGCAGGCGGUUAGAAAAGUCUGAAGUGAAAGGCAGUGGCUCAACCAUUGUAGGCUUUGGAAACUGUUUAACUUGAGUGCAGAAGGGGAGAGUGGAAUUCCAUGUGUAGCGAUGAAAUGCGUAGAUAUAUGGAGGAACACCGGUGGCGAAAGCGGCUCUCUGGUCUGUAACUGACGCUGAGGCUCGAAAGCGUGGGGAGCGAACAGG
RNAcentral lists this ribosomal RNA (428 nucleotides) under Verrucomicrobiota bacterium. RNAcentral's name for it is "Verrucomicrobia bacterium partial 16S ribosomal RNA". It matches the Rfam family "Bacterial small subunit ribosomal RNA", at positions 355 to 776 of the family's 1533-position model. Lineage: Bacteria; Pseudomonadati; Verrucomicrobiota. The record is from RNAcentral.